CUUGUCUGCAAAUUCGUAACUUCAAGGGCGAACAUGUGAACAGGGCGAGUUGUCCCGAUACCAAAUUCACGCAUGCGUACUUCAAAUAUCUACAGAAAAAACAUCCGGUUACAAGUAAACAAAUAACGUUGAUGUAGAUGAGAUGAAAUCUAAUAAUUUACAUAAAUAAAAGGGUAUAUAUUUACGAUAGUGAUUGUUUUUUCAAUCCUAAUUUACAAAUUAAAUGAUUCAGAUGCUUAAUCAUG
This 245-nucleotide long non-coding RNA is filed under the name Mytilus galloprovincialis (Mediterranean mussel). Lineage: Eukaryota; Metazoa; Mollusca; Bivalvia; Mytilida; Mytilidae. The record is from RNAcentral.